UUUCUCUUUUGGAAGGGUGAUCUGUUGGGUGUGUAGGGGAGACAGUUGUGAAUGUGCAGUUGAAGUGUGUUGUAUAGUGUGGUGGUGGUGGUGGUGGUUGGAUGGUGGGGAUUUUUCUUUUUUUUUUUUUUUUGGUCUCCCUCUUUUCUCUACUUUAUAUAGUCAUAUGCAUCACAGCAGUACUUCCCUGGAAAUCGUCUAUGCCCAACUCGGGAUUUUCAUGCCUCCACAGGUCAAGGCUCCUGCUGCCGCCGCUGUUGCUGCUGCUGCUGCUGCAGACACUGACAUCACUAUACUGCAUGAAUGAAAAACAACAACGUGCUCCAUUUCUUGCUCUCCACCUCCUUUUCUGCACACUUCUCUGUGUGUGUGUGUGUGUGUGUGUAAGAGGUGUUAUGCUGCAUUUAAAACUACAUUUAAAAAUGUUAAAUUAAGUGGAUGGUGGCUCAAGGGAUAUGUAUUUAGUAUAGAGGCAUAUUGUUUACAAAAAGCUUCAAGUGCUAUGAGCAUUUGGGCUGGAGGUGACAUAACUGAGCAUUCAGUAUUUUUUUAAAUCUGGACUGGUGGUUAUGGAAGAAAAUACAGAAGCUUUAAACACUUUUCUUUGUAACUGUUUUACCAAGAAGAAGUAAUGAAACAACAUGAUUUCCAAACAUGUUAGGUUAUUAUUUCCCUCUUAAACAUUCUUAAUAUGUAUAUUUAUAGGGUUAUGGCUGUAGUAAUAAAGAAAUGACACUCUGAUUAUUUCACAAAGCUGAGGAAAAGCUGAUUUUUGUAAAGAUGCAAUCAAAUUUUAAUAAUUUAUAAAAUUCAACAAGAUGGCAAUUUAUUUUUGUAGCACAAUUUUAGAUGAUUUUAAAGGGUAUCAUAACAGAAGAUACAUAAAUCUUUACCUUGCUCUGUAUAAGGAUAUGAACUUUUACAAAUUAAAACUAUCUUGUUUAUGCAUGUGGAUCAUA
Molecule: long non-coding RNA, 959 nt
Organism: Canis lupus familiaris (dog)
Lineage: Eukaryota; Metazoa; Chordata; Mammalia; Carnivora; Canidae
Exons: 2
Source: RefSeq, a predicted model, not a curated record